This is a long non-coding RNA of Homo sapiens (human), 1799 nucleotides long. Lineage: Eukaryota; Metazoa; Chordata; Mammalia; Primates; Hominidae. The record is from Ensembl.
AUUCUCGUCCUGCACUUGCACCUGCACUCGCAGCAGCCGCGCGCCCGCGCCUCCCGGCCCCUCAGCGCGUACCGUAAGCGCGCGCCACGGCGGGCCAGCUUCGAAGUCCAGGGGCCGCGCCAGGUACAAGCGCCCUGAGGCCGCAUCCAGCGCGAAGGUGCCCUCGGGAUCGGCACCGCCCACCAGUGUGUAGUUAGCGUGUACAAGAUGGUCCCAUUCUCCCCCUCAUCUGGAUCCUUCGCCUGCAGAGUCGUCACCAGUGUUCCCGGAGGCACGCGGUCUGGUACCUGUGGGAACACAACUCACCUAGACUGCGAGUAGACUGUGAGAAAAACAGGUUUUCUGGACUUGAGAUGUGUACAAAUGGCACAAAGAAAUCAGGAACUUCUGUGGAGAAGGAACACAGUUUCAGCUGAAGAAGAAGGGAGUGUGAUUUUGGAAGAGGAGUGAGGGAGAGACUGGGGUCCUUGAUCAUAUCCACGGCGCUUGGGCAGCUGGGUGGAUGGAUGGUGGUGAGGCUGGCUGUGCUCCACAAAAGGAGCAGCAGGAGGCUGCAGGGGGUUCGUAUGAGGAGAUGAUGACUGUGACUUGGGGCUGCUGACUUUGAAGUGCUGGUUGGGUAGGUAGGUCUGCAACUUAGAGGAGCGGUCUGGGAUGGACAUAAAUAUUUGGGAGUCAUCUGCAAAUGCCGUAUAAGCUUGAAUAUAGGGUGAAGUUUUUGCUUUUUUGUUUUUCCAAAAUCAUCCCUCAGGAAAGAGGGAGUAACCUUAUAUUUGAGUCCUUACAAGGUCUCUCAUAUUACAGGGUUUGCUCUCAUUUACUUUAUUUUGAACAACAAACCACUGGAUAGGGCAGUAUGGUAUGGUGACUAAGCUUGUGGACUCUGGAGCCAGACUCCCUGGCUCGGGGUCCAGACUCUCCUAUUUACAAGCUGUGUGGCACUGGGAAAGUUACUUAACUUGUCUCUGCCUCAGUUUUCUCAUCUAUAAAGUGGGCCUAAGGAUUAAAUUAUGUAAUAUAUAUAAAGCACUAUAUACCUGGCACUAUAUGGUAAGUGUCCAAUAAAUGCUAACUAUUUUUACUGUUUGGCUAAGACCCAUUGACCUGAAAUGUCCUCAACAAUGCUAUUUUGGAUGUAUUGUAGUCAAAGAAAUUUAACACAGCUUUGGUAACUAUUCCUGGUAGUAUGACCUCAUAAUCGCAUGUGUUGGAUGUCUCAAAAUAUGCUUUUUAAAGAUUGCUUUAAAAAGCAAUACAGUAGUACUUGGAAGAGGUUUCUGGGCUGCCGAAAAUGUUCUAUUUCUUGACCUGAGUGGUUAUAUGGACCUGAGGGAUGUUUCACUCUGACAGUUCAUUGAGCUGAAUAUUUAUGAUGGCUUGUGGCCUUUUCCAUAUAGAUGUUAUAUUUCAGUAAAAAAAGUUAACAGAAAUAUAAUUUUUAAAAAGUAUUACAUUAAGUGAUGUUUUGAAGUCAUGAAUAUACUCAGGCAGGGUGCAUGCAAAAAACCAACUGUUCUAGUGUGAUGCAAAGGAAACUUGUGACUUAGGAUAAAGUUUCCAAGGACUGCAUCAUCUGUGAAUUCAAACUGUGCUGUGUCCUCUCCCAAGCCCUUCGCUUAAACUGAAGAGAAGGACAUCUGUUCUGGGAAAACAUGUAAGAUGGCUGAAAAAGUGAUCCUAAUGAUGAGAAAGACACUGCUUGUGUUGAGUAUGCAUAAAAUUGCUUCAUAAUUUAUGAGAAUGGAAAAGACAAUAUUUAUCAGUUAUAUAUUUUUAUAUGAUAUAUGAAUUUAAAUAUA